Molecule: ribosomal RNA, 383 nt
Filed under: uncultured bacterium
Lineage: Bacteria
Description: bacterial SSU rRNA
Rfam family: Bacterial small subunit ribosomal RNA
Source: RNAcentral
AGCGAACGUUUGCGGCGGGCCUAACACAUGCAAGUCGAACGGGCUAGCAAUAGUCAGUGGCGCACGGGUGCGUAACACGUGGGUAAUCAACCCUUCAGCUCGGGAUAACGCCUUGAAAGGGGCGCUAAUACCGGAUACGACGCGAGCGGCCUUGGCUGCUCACGGGAAAGAUUCGCAAGGAUCUCUGAAGGACGAGCCUGCGGCCCAUCAGCUAGUUGGUGAGGUAAGAGCUCACCAAGGCGAAGACGGGUAGCUGGUCUGAGAGGAUGAUCAGCCACACUGGAACUGAGACACGGUCCAGACUCCUACGGGAGGCAGCAGUGGGGAAUAUUGCGCAAUGGGCGAAAGCCUGACGCAGCCACGCCGCGUGAGCGAUGAAGGCC